GCUGAUGCAACCCGCCACUGGAACUGCUGCCGAUUUCUGAUCCUCCUCCCCCUCCGCAGGAGACGGUGCAUCUCCGUCUGCUGCAGGUCCGGCAGCCGGCGAAUCCGCAUCCGGUGCGUCUGCUUCCGGUGCGUCUGCCGCUGGCUCAGGGGCGCUCGCCUCGGGGGCCUCCGCCGGACUGUCAGCCGUCGAAUCGUCCACGGGCGCCGGUGCAGGCACCGGCACCUCCGGUGGCGCUGUUAUUGGAGCGCCGAAAGGCGCCAGCGGCGUGCCGUUGAUGCCCUGCGGGACGAUGACGGCGCUGAUUUGGAGAACCGAGAGGUUGUACGGCUUGGCGGCGACGGACUUGACGUAGGUGGCCACUAGCGGCGACCCGGGUACCCCCGACCCGAAGGCAAGCCGCCCGUCCGACAGCUUGGUGGCGUUGAGGAACCCCAUGCGGUUGGCGGCGACGCCGGUGGUCUGGAAUAGGGUGGUGAACAGGGUGGACCGGCGCUUGAGGUUGUGGAUCUUCUCUUUGUCGUAGUAGUCGAGGAUGACGUGGAUGGAGAGGACCUGCUUGAGCGUGUCGGAGUCGAGGCUGGAGAGGGAGGAGGCCGCGGAGUUGUCGACCGCGAGGACGGUGAUGGUCUGGCGGCGGUUGACCUCAGAGGCGAUGUCGGCCUGGCUGAGGAGAGAGUUGAAGUUGGAGAAGUCGGGGAAUUGGGAGAGGAGGCGGGUGAUGUUGUGGGCGGUGGCGGAGGAGAGCAGGACGAGGAAGGAGACGAAGACGAGGAGGAGGGAGAGUUGGGGGCUCGAAGCCAUUGUGGGAGGAGGAGGAGGAGGAGGA
RNAcentral lists this long non-coding RNA (829 nucleotides) under Musa acuminata (dwarf banana). RNAcentral describes it as "long non-coding RNA (MACU_LNC005122)". The record is from RNAcentral. Lineage: Eukaryota; Viridiplantae; Streptophyta; Magnoliopsida; Zingiberales; Musaceae.